RNAcentral lists this transfer RNA (34 nucleotides) under Tetrix japonica. RNAcentral describes it as "tRNA-His". The record is from RNAcentral. Lineage: Eukaryota; Metazoa; Arthropoda; Insecta; Orthoptera; Tetrigidae.
GUGGAUUUAACGAUGUGAAAUUUCACUUUAGGCC